This is a long non-coding RNA of Lagopus muta (rock ptarmigan), 142 nucleotides long. RefSeq lists it as uncharacterized. The record is from RefSeq and is a predicted model, not a curated record. Lineage: Eukaryota; Metazoa; Chordata; Aves; Galliformes; Phasianidae. The transcript has 3 exons.
GCAGGUCUGACCCAUGUUGUGCUGUGGGUCUGAGCCCCAUUUCAAUGCAGGUCUGACCCAUGUUGUGCUGUGGGUCUGACCCAUAUUUUGAUACAGGUCUGACCCAUGUUGUGCUGUGGGUCUGACCCAUAUUUUGAUACAG